RNAcentral lists this ribosomal RNA (427 nucleotides) under uncultured bacterium. Its description in RNAcentral is "bacterial SSU rRNA". It matches the Rfam family "Bacterial small subunit ribosomal RNA", at positions 355 to 774 of the family's 1533-position model. The record is from RNAcentral.
UAGGGAAUAUUGGACAAUGGGGGCAACCCUGAUCCAGCCAUGCCGCGUGAGUGAAGAAGGCCCUCGGGUUGUAAAGCUCUUUUGUCCGGAAAGAAAAGCUUCGGGUUAAUACCCCGGGGUUCUGACGGUACCGGAAGAAUACGCACCGGCUAACUUCGUGCCAGCAGCCGCGGUAAUACGAAGGGUGCAAGCGUUACUCGGAAUUACUGGGCGUAAAGCGUGCGUAGGUGGUUGUUUAAGUCUGAUGUGAAAGCCCUGGGCUCAACCUGGGAAUGGAAGUGGAAACUGGGCGGCUAGAGUGCGGUAGAUGGUAGUGGAAUUCCCGGUGUAGCAGUGAAAUGCGUAGAGAUCGUGAGGAACAUCUGUGGCGAAGGCGACUGCCUGGACCAGCACUGACACUGAGGCACGAAAGCGUGGGGAGCAAACA